GGGGGGGGGAGAGGGAGAGGAAUUUUUUGCUUGUUUUACUGCAAAUCCAUUAUUUUUUUACAAGGAUGAAAACCCAGAGUUUGCAUUCAGUGAAAAGGACACUGGAAUUUUACUUGAUUUUACACCAACUAGCUGCAUUCUGCAACUUUAUAGUUUUGUCACAGAAUUUUAGAGUCACCAGUAAUUGUACAUUAGUUUAUUGCUGAAAAUGGAUUCUUGGAUGACAGAAUGAUAAGAAGAAAUGGGCGUUUGUUCAGUCCCAAUAUAUAAAAUUCAGAAGAGACAGGAAGGUCUGCGUGCAUUUCUGGCCCACACAGUCAAAAUUCAUGAUAGGAAACAGACACUAAAGAGAAACAAGCACUUGCCAAAUUACAUGUGCUUUUUUAAAACUUGGUAUUUUAUUGCAUUUACUCCACAUACUGUACUCAUUACCAAUCCUGUGAGGAAAUUCAGCCCUUUGUAAAUAUUCAGUGAAAAAGACGAAGUCCAUCUGCCGACAGAGUACGGAGGGAACGUGUACUACUGAAAUAGCGAUGCAAAGAUUGGGUAUGUGGAAAGAAAAAAGUCAAAUUUUUAAAGAGCAGAAGAAUUACUGGUGGAUGAUGAAUUCAGUGUAGAUCAACUAGAACCUGUUGUACAGCAAGAAUUGAACAUCAAUUCCAGAACUAGAGAACAUUUUACCUAAAAGGUUGUAUGGAAGAGGCACUCCAGUAACACAGUGUUACCUGUCAGUCAAGCAGGAGUCACCACUAACAGUACUGAUCUAUGGAUUUUGUAUUUAGUGUAUAUGAGAAUGAGAAAAACAGCUCUGUGACACAGGAGUCAUUACAUUAGUGGUAAGAUGAACUUACUCUACAGUGUAGCUGCCUUUUGGACAAACUUAGAUUUAGCCAAAUGCUUCCAUUAGCCUUUCUACAACUUCAGAUAUUCCUUGAUCAGCGUGUGAUAUCAAUUACCUCCUGUGUCAUCCUUUCUUGUUUUCUUCACUGUUAAAAAUCCUUCUAAAUCCCUUCGAAAUCAGUGGGUUUCAUCCUUGGAAGCAGCUUCUGCAAUGCAUAUCAAGGCAACCUUCAGUGAGUCACAAGGAGGUUGACUGGUCAUCAGCUACAGCCUUCUGCAGAGCUGCUAACAUAGGCUUUUCCUCAUGACUUUCUGAGCCUCACUAACAUCAUAAAUCUGAGAGGUGGGGGAGUUGGUGCAAGGAAUCCACGAGAGAGAGGAAAGAGAGGCAAUCGUCCUUCUAAGGGAAGAAUGUUAAGACCAGCAAGGUAAGAACCUAAUGUUUUAGCAUGUUUAUGUAUUUAAUUCAUAAUGGCAGAGAGAUUCCCAACAGAGUUAAUACAGCAGAUUGUAUGGGGAAAAUUCUUCUUUGCAUCUCACAGAAAAAUUACAAGAAGGACAGCUGUAGAAACUGCAAAAGAAACCUAAAGAACCAAAUGAAGGAUUAAAUGUUGUUUACAUGCUAUGCUACAGAUUUCUGUUGUAAGGAUAUUAAUGUUGUUAAACUUCCAUUUUAACUCCAUAGGACAAUACAAGCACAUAAGGAAUUGAGAAGAAUAUUUUGUUUGCUCUCCUUUUGAAGGAUUAACUACUGCUUUUUAUAAUCUGCAGAGACUUGCAGGAGGGAAAAUGCAAAGCACAGCAUCCAACAUAUUAACAUGCUAAUUUAGAGCGAAUGUAAAAAGUAGUUUCACUUGCUUGCAUCUUCAUGUUACUCUCUUAGAGAACCUGUUAAGCAAGGCCUGGCCCUGUCAUAAUUAGCAACCCUGGGGGGAGAACCUACCUUACGUAUCCUGUGGCAGCCCCUCAUGAGCAACAUGGGACCAGCAUAGAUCAAGGAUGGGAUGACAGAUACUGCAAUCGUCCUGCUUGUAAAAUGUGACAUUUAGUAAACAAUCAUAAAGUAGCAGGGAAGAUUUAAACAUUAAACAGAAGUUGGAGAGGGGCUUGUGUGGGAGUGUGUUUAUCUUAAUGGGAGGCUUGGGAGCGCUGCGUGCUGUGCCAUGCCGUGCAGCCGUUUGGCUUUGUGGCUGAAAGCAGCCAUGCUGGUUUGGUGAAGCGACUGAGAGCUAAAGUAUGUGCCUUGCAUUCUGUUUGAUUGCUGUAGCUUGUGCUGCAUUCUCACGGGGUGGUUAACAUGCCUGCCUCUAAUGCUUUUAACUGUACUCUGUCUUUAUGGUGCUCAGAGAGCUGAUGCUGUGACUGCUAUCCUUUGCUUCUCCAGUACAGUUAAAAAAAAAAAAAAUCAUUAUUUCAGGGAACAGUUGUUCUGACUAGAAAGAUGAAAAAAUGUUUUAUGUUCUAUUUUGAGCAUUUAAUAUCACAAAGAACAAUACCUCUGAGUAAUCUCUUAAACUUUAGCUGCUCUGUGACCUCAAGUGAUUUCACUGUCUUUUCAGUCCUUAUGUUAGAGUGCUCCUCCAGCAUCAUUACUUACAUCCCAGAGAACUCAGUUCAGAACAUUUUGAGAGGAGUGAUCAGAAAUAAUAAGUGAGAAAACAAACAAAAAGCAACAAACCUGAGGAAUUCAUGUGCAUGUCUUUGGAACUAACAAAUACUUUUUCAAUAAACAAAGGGCAAGAUGUUAGGAGCUUCCUUGCUUCCUUGUUCUGAUUCACAAGAGAGUAAUGAACCCAGUAGAAAAAAUGUCAUAUUUGGUAAAGUAUAUGGUAUGUCUCUAAAGGUACAGGUACACAGAGAACCUGUGAGAAUAUCUGUGCCUUUGUGUAAAGAGCUAACUUGCUACAAGAUGAGUAGGAUCCUGACACUCAGCAUCAAAUAAAGUUUCCAGAAAUGUUAGAAAAGACAUUGAUGGAUAAAUUGCAUUUUCUAACUUUGGAAGAGACAUUAGAGGAAGGAAAAUGUUGAAUGAACAGAAGUUGAUACUGUGUUGGGAAUUUAGGGAUAGUAUGUCUCACCUUUUCAUGAAAAUCUGACAAAUUCAUAGCAUUUACUACCUUGAAAUAAAACUACAUGAGCAGCAACAGCCAAUUGUAAAAGAAACCCCACUGCUUCCAGAUACACUUAAAGAGCAACUCCCACUCUUCAAAGGUUUUCUGACAUAAAAGUUUCCAGCAGAAGAACAUAUGUGGAAUAAUAAAGCUCAGUGAAAACCAACUCUCACAAAAAGGUGAGUUGCUGUUAGAAUUCUAUAGCAGAAUGGUAUCAAUUUUGGCAUGAGUUUACUAUGAGACACAGUACAAGGAAAAAAAUAUUAUUUUGAUUGUUAUAUAAGAACACAGUAUAUCACAAAGUAGAUCUUUGCUGAAUUUGUUUUAAAAUAAUGUGGAGUAUGAUUAUUGAAAAGCAAUAGAAAUGCUGGCUUUUUUCAUACUUUGUUAUACACUUACUGUUAAACCUAAGAACCUUCUUAAAGGUUCUUUCAUCAAAGUUUGCAAGAAACUUAGGGAUAUUCUAAAAGAACUGCAUUGGUCCAAAGUAUUUUUCUUCACUGUAGUGUAAGUUAUAUGCACAGUAGAUUUCAAAACAGAAUGUAUAAAAUGAGGGCUACUGCUUCCCAUUAUUCUUUAAGUUUACAAAAUGGGUAUAAUGAAGUUGCUUAUAAUGUAUCAUGUAGAUUAGUAACUUCCUAUUAGAACAUUAAAUGAAUUCAAUCUGUAUUGAAGCUCAUAUAUUCAAAGUCACUUAAGAUUGUUUUCUUCCCUCUCAUAGGUGACAGCCAGGAAUCCUGCAUCUAAGAAAGACGGUGAUCAGGAUUCAGCUUUUAUAGGCUCUUAGAAAAGGAGAGAUGUUCUUGUAUCCAUGUUGGGCUGAAGAUGACCUAGACUGAGAUUCCCAAAUUCUAACGCAUGUACUGCAGCAAAGCUCUGUGUAGAUAAUUCCUGAGUAGCAAAGCACAUAGUCCUGGCUGAUACUGAAAGCUGUUGAUACAGCAAUUUCUGCUACUGCGACCUACAAUGGCUGCAGGAUGUGAGUGAGCAAGAUGGACUUGGGAACCACCAAUGUGGAUGUGUUUACUUCAACUGCAGAUUGAGGUAAUGUGCUCUUAGUUUAGUUGAAGAACAACAAGAGAAUGCUAAUAAGCAUGAAGAAUAUAAAGAAGUUAAUGAAAGCAACAUAAAUUAGGUGGUGGAAAAAGAUAAGCCUUGCUAGUUGGAUGAAAAGGGAACAAGAGACCAUGGCCCAAACAUAAGAACGUAUUUUAUUGCAUUUGGUGUUUUCUUUUUCCUGCUUUCCUUCCAAGGGAAACUGAAAAGUGGAGCAGCUAGCGUUAACCAUUUUCUAACACAGCUAUUCAAAACUUGUUGAAUUACACAACUUGUAUUGAAAAAAAUAGGAACUGCUGGUGCUGAGUUCUAUUACAAAUUAGGCCAAUUGAGAAACUGUUGCAUAACUGAUCUGCAAAAGAUAAUUGCUAGGAGUUUGUAAGUUCAGGUGUUGCUGAAGCUUAAGCAGGUGGCUUAGUCUUCAGUACUUUAUAGCUUUUUUUUUUUAAUUAUUAUUCAAGUGUGCAUCAAAUUUCUGUAAUCACUUUCUCAAAGACUCAUGAAGAAUUCAUUCUCAGAAGCCUUAGAAUUGUCUACUGACGCAAGUGAUCUGAACCAAUACAUUUGAGCAAGUGGAAUUUUCAGUAAGAAGGUUGAUGGGGGAAAAGAAGCUACUUUAGUCAGCUGGAAAAGAAUAUUCAUAAAUACAGUAUUCUUGUAUAAAACUUCCUCUUUUAGAUCUACGGCUUUGUAAUCAUCAGAAGCACACAGUUAGCACAUCCCCUGGGCUGUAGCCUACAAAACAAUAGUUCAAAUUUUAGGGCAUCUAGUACCAAAACAAAACCAACAUGAUCUAGUGAUUCAAAGCACUGAAUCAGUAUAAACUCAAGCUGCCGAUACAAAAUUGUUCAGACGGGUUGGUCAGGAAUUUGUGGGACAGGUACCUUCAAGCUGUCUGACUUUCUGUGGUUCUGCUGCUGCGUGCCUGACUUUCAUAGUUUGCCCAAAUUUCUUUAUAAAAGUUCAUUUUUGUCUUACCCACUUCCUAUGCUCAGAUGUAUUGUUUGUUUAAGUCUUCAGGUUCCCUAUCCUCCCUCCUUUUUUCAUUGGAUGUUCACAGGACAUUAACUCAACGGAUUUUAUUGAUCUUUGCCUCAGAUCUUGACCUAUCCAAAUAUUCAGAAACUUAUGGCCACUUCCUUUGGUGGUGGUGGUGGUGGUUUUUCUUUGGCCUUGAUAUGAGCUAUGUGGAUGCAGUUGCCACAUCUUUAUGACAUGCUCUAUCUCAGUGGCUCUAAGCGGAGGCUGUACCAUCUGCCUCUCUCUGGUCUGUCCUGAUACUUUCCUCAUCUUGGAACUGCCCAACUCAAUUUUGAAGAAGGAAAUUCAAAUACACAUCUUGACAUAGUCAUCAAUUCUGGUCAAAAACUGAUGGUAAAAGUAAAGCCAUGCAUGAAAAGUUGGCCUUUCUGUUUUCCCCCAGUGAUUGUUAACCACAUAAUAAACUGGAGACGGUGUGUCAGAGGGGAUAGAAUUUUAGCUCAGGAGAGCAAAGUUGUAUCUCUUUAGAUGUUUCCCAUAGCAGUGAGCUUUUCAGUAUGCCCACGCAUGCCUUCUGUAGUAACAACUCUGUCACCUUCUUGUCAUCCUAAGAAUGAGCAGACUUGACUCUAUCAGCAAGCAGCCUUGAUAUCCACUCUGGAUACACCAUGCAUUUCUUCUGGCUGGAAAGCUAGCAAAACACUUUUUAUGGGAACUUUGGAAGGGCAAGGAUUGUCUUAUUGGGCAUAUUUUCUUGCCCAAAGAGUCUUGGGUGAACUGCUAGGAACAAAACUAUAUGCCUUCGUCAAAAGAAGGAAUCGCUCUUUAGAGGAUUGGAUGCAUGAGGACAGGAAUAAAGAGGGAUGUGUUUAUCACAGAGAAAAGCUACCCAAGUGAGGAAAGUCUAGCAUGCUUCACUGUUCACUGUGAACUCAGGGGACCAGAGAUCUUCUGAAGGGUGUGUCAUCUCCAGAAUUUUACUGGCUGCUUGCAUUCUUCAAACUAUCUCCAAUCUAAUUAGCAAUGCCAUCAUGCAGUUGGUGAUCCCCAGCCUCCAGAUAAUUGCAGAAAUCUGCCUCUCAGCUAAGUAACACUACUGAUGGCUGUUUCUAUGCUUCGGAUGUUCAGAACAGAUCUCCAGAAACACUGCCUUCUCUACUCUUUCUGUUGCCAUUGACCCCCAAGAACAGUUUAUGACCAAAUUAAUGGUGAGGAGACAAAAUGGGCUUUGAUACUAGCGCAUUUCUAGUCACAGAUAAAAAUUAAAUGUUAAGAAGUUACAUGAGCUUGUGAUCCUGCAGCAGGGAAGAUGGUGUAACCCUGAAGAAGGUCAGGUGGGUCAGAGCAGUCAUCCCAGCUGUGUGGUGGGGAAUUCAGGCAUGGUGCCCUGGGGUCCCUACUUUUAACACUGAAGCACGCCUGCAACCUCACUUGGGCCUUCUGCUGGGUCCAGAAAUUCCAGACCUCAUCAGCAGUGCUCACAGCCCUCCUGUCCGGAAAGUUUUCCACACCUUGACAAAGGUGCAGCAGUUAAAGGGUCAUGUAUAGGGAAGUAAAUGGAGGAUAAAUAAGUGUUUAACCAGUCCAAGCCCUAUGCAAAUUUGCCCCCAGAGCGGCAAGUUGGUCUUGGAGGGUGAAGAUGAAAAUGGCAACCUCACCUAAGUUUAUAUUGUUAGAUGAUCAAGCAAUAGGUAGACUUUUCUUUACUGUCACGGAACUAUGAUCUAAAAUUCUGUCAGUCAAGUAUGAGUAUGUUGAUUAGUGUCAUAGGGUACUACCACAAUCCUACUCCAAGAGUUGAUGAGUUUAGCAAAUGUUAAUGAAUCACAAUGACAUUUUAAAAUCCAGAAUGUGGAAUGUGGAAAUUAUUGCAAAUGUUCAUAUUUGAUAUUACAACAUGUACUGUUUGUUUAUACCUUAUUACAACUAUAUACAACAUGAAAUGUAUAGUUUCAUGGGUGUCAACUUAGUGACAUAAGUUUUCAGAACAACAUUGCAAAUUACACUUUUCUUCUGUGUGGUUUGCAGAAGUCUGACAGCUGUGAUCACUUAUUUAGGUAAGUGGUUGUAUGUGAGUAUGUGUUCUCAGAGUGGAUAAGUUAUGUAGUUUCACAAAUAGGCAAGUUUUAUGCCCUUUAAGUCUUGUGCCAGAAAAGCUGCAGAGAAAUAGUUUUUAUUAAACAGCGAGUAUAUUUGAAUAGAAGCAGCAAAUGAUUUGUAACAGAAAUAUUUAUAGAUCAUACAUAUGGCUGUCUUACAGCUAGAAUAAUUACAGACUGCAGUUUAGACUUGAGUAAAAAGAAUGGAAAUGGGGGAAGGGAGAAAUCUGUGCAUUAAGUCAUUAUACACAAAGUAAUGUUUCAAUAAAUACUUUGCUUACUAAAAACAAA
Long non-coding RNA from Numida meleagris (helmeted guineafowl), 7378 nucleotides. RefSeq lists it as uncharacterized. The record is from RefSeq and is a predicted model, not a curated record. Lineage: Eukaryota; Metazoa; Chordata; Aves; Galliformes; Numididae. The transcript has 2 exons.